UUUUGAGUUUGAUUUUUGAUUGGAAAAAAUAUUUAUAACUCUGCCGCAUAGGCAAACCCAAAGAGGAUUAAAGUGGGUCAGCUACCUAAAAUUCUACAUUUGCAUUAUAACCCUUUAAAGUGUAUAUAUUAUUUAUAUUUCUUCAACUUUUAUCCCUUUAAAAUUACAAAUUUGUUUGUAAAUCAUUUA
This 189-nucleotide small RNA is filed under the name Arabidopsis thaliana (thale cress). Its description in RNAcentral is "ATSL284360". The record is from RNAcentral. Lineage: Eukaryota; Viridiplantae; Streptophyta; Magnoliopsida; Brassicales; Brassicaceae.